UUCCAUAAGAUAAAGAAAAGAAAAGAAAAAAAAAAUUAAAACACAAAUCUUCUUCUUCAAAAAAACGUCACUCUCUCUCUCCCACACCAAAACCACCAUGAAAGCUCAUUUUUGAGCUUGAAGAACCAAAAUCCAACCAUGGCCAAUUGUCCUACCAUAACUAGAAGUUGUUUGGACAACUAGGAAAGAGGAUUCAAAGAAAAGAAAGAAGAAAAAUUUGAAGAAAAGGGAGAAGAAAUUCUGCACACAAGUUGAAAAGAAUAUCGGGAAGGAACCCGAGGAAACGAGUCGAGGCUAAGGGACGACUCGCUUGAGAUAAAAGCAAGGAGAG
This is a long non-coding RNA of Hevea brasiliensis (rubber tree), 331 nucleotides long. RefSeq lists it as uncharacterized. The transcript is spliced from 3 exons. The record is from RefSeq and is a predicted model, not a curated record. NCBI's taxonomy places the organism in Eukaryota, Viridiplantae, Streptophyta, Magnoliopsida, Malpighiales, Euphorbiaceae.